CCUACGGGUGGCUGCAGUGGGGAAUAUUGGGCAAUGGGCGCAAGCCUGACCCAGCCACGCCGCGUGAGUGAUGAAGGCCUUCGGGUCGUAAAGCUCUGUGGGGAGGGAAGAAAAGCUACGUGCUAAUACCACGGAGUCUUGACGGUACCUCCUUAGCAAGCACCGGCUAACCACGUGCCAGCAGCCGCGGUAAUACGUGGGGUGCAAACGUUGCUCGGAAUUAUUGGGCGUAAAGCGCACGUAGGCGGCUCUCUAAGUCGCAUGUGAAAGCCCCA
Molecule: ribosomal RNA, 275 nt
Filed under: uncultured bacterium
Lineage: Bacteria
Description: partial 16S ribosomal RNA
Rfam family: Bacterial small subunit ribosomal RNA
Source: RNAcentral